RNAcentral lists this unclassified non-coding RNA (333 nucleotides) under soil metagenome. RNAcentral describes it as "partial contains 5.8S ribosomal RNA, internal transcribed spacer 2, and large subunit ribosomal RNA". The stretch from base 1 to 120 matches the Rfam family "5.8S ribosomal RNA", at positions 35 to 154 of the family's 154-position model. The record is from RNAcentral.
GAUGAAGAACGCAGCAAAAUGCGAUAAGUAAUGUGAAUUGCAGAAUUCAGUGAAUCAUCGAAUCUUUGAACGCACAUUGCGCCCGCCAGUAUUCUGGCGGGCAUGCCUGUUCGAGCGUCAUUUCAACCCUCAAGCUCAGCUUGGUGUUGGGACUCGCGGUAACCCGCGUUCCCCAAAUCGAUUGGCGGUCACGUCGAGCUUCCAUAGCGUAGUAAUCAUACACCUCGUUACUGGUAAUCGUCGCGGCCACGCCGUAAAACCCCAACUUCUGAAUGUUGACCUCGUAUCAGGUAGGAAUACCCGCUGAACUUAAGCAUAUCAAUAAGCGGAGGA